Molecule: ribosomal RNA, 468 nt
Filed under: uncultured organism
Description: bacterial SSU rRNA
Rfam family: Bacterial small subunit ribosomal RNA
Source: RNAcentral
GACGAACGCUGGCGGCGUGCCUAACACAUGCAAGUCGAACGGGGUCCAAGGAGUGCUUGCACUCCUGAAGACCUAGUGGCGAACGGGUGAGUAACACGUGAGAAACCUGCCCCAGACUCUGGGAUAACCCAAGGAAACUUGAGCUAAUACCGGAUAUUCUCCUUUGGUCGCAUGGCCAGUUGAGGAAAGUUUUUCGGUCUGGGAGGGUCUCGCGGCCUAUCAGCUAGUUGGCGGGGUAACGGCCCACCAAGGCUACGACGGGUAGCUGGUUUGAGAGAACGAUCAGCCACACUGGAACUGAGACACGGUCCAGACUCCUACGGGAGGCAGCAGUGGGGAAUCUUGCGCAAUGGGCGAAAGCCUGACGCAGCAACGCCGCGUGCGGGAUGAAGGCCUUCGGGUUGUAAACCGCUUUCAGCAGGGACGAAAAUGACGGUACCUGCAGAAGAAGCUCCGGCUAACUACGUG